CAAAGAAUAGUUUAUAAAAAUAAUAAUUUUGGAGAUUAUAGAUAAAGAUUUAUUUUUUUUUUUGA
RNAcentral lists this transfer RNA (65 nucleotides) under Paralipsa gularis. RNAcentral's name for it is "tRNA-Pro". Lineage: Eukaryota; Metazoa; Arthropoda; Insecta; Lepidoptera; Pyralidae. The record is from RNAcentral.